GACGAACGCUGGCGGCGUCCCUAAUACAUGCAAGUCGAGCGGACUUUCAAGAAGCUUGCUUUUUGAAAGUUAGCGGCGGACGGGUGAGUAACACGUGGGCAACCUGCCUGCAAGACGGGGAUAACUCCGGGAAACCGGGGCUAAUACCGGAUAAUAUCUUCCUUCGCAUGAAGGAAGGUUGAAAGGCGGCGCAAGCUGCCGCUUGCAGAUGGGCCCGCGGCGCAUUAGCUAGUUGGUGAGGUAACGGCUCACCAAGGCGACGAUGCGUAGCCGACCUGAGAGGGUGAUCGGCCACACUGGGACUGAGACACGGCCCAGACUCCUACGGGAGGCAGCAGUAGGGAAUCUUCCGCAAUGGACGAAAGUCUGACGGAGCAACGCCGCGUGAGCGAAGAAGGUCUUCGGAUCGUAAAGCUCUGUUGUCAGGGAAGAACAAGUACCGUUCGAACAGGGCGGUACCUUGACGGUACCUGACCAGAAAGCCACGGCUAACUACGUG
RNAcentral lists this ribosomal RNA (499 nucleotides) under uncultured bacterium. RNAcentral describes it as "partial 16S ribosomal RNA". It matches the Rfam family "Bacterial small subunit ribosomal RNA", at positions 28 to 507 of the family's 1533-position model. The record is from RNAcentral.